Molecule: long non-coding RNA, 226 nt
Filed under: Manihot esculenta (cassava)
Lineage: Eukaryota; Viridiplantae; Streptophyta; Magnoliopsida; Malpighiales; Euphorbiaceae
Description: long non-coding RNA (MESC_LNC005232)
Source: RNAcentral
GUUUAUGAGUAUUGUUGAUCAUGUAUGGGAUUAAACAGGAUUACAGGUUAUGUCAGGCUUGCUACGGUUCCCGGCGGCCUUAUGCCGAUCUGGAUCCUAGCGCCGGUAACAGUCCGGAUUUCCGGGGCGUUACAUCUUUGGUCCCUUCGCUCCCAGGGUUGUCUGUAAGGCUCGGGCCUCUUGCCAUGCUUUUUCUCACGCCUCUCUGGCCUCCCUUCCUCUGGUG